This 484-nucleotide ribosomal RNA is filed under the name uncultured bacterium. Its description in RNAcentral is "partial 16S ribosomal RNA". It matches the Rfam family "Bacterial small subunit ribosomal RNA", at positions 30 to 507 of the family's 1533-position model. The record is from RNAcentral.
AUUGAACGCUGGCGGCAGGCCUAACACAUGCAAGUCGAGCGGAUGAAGGGAGCUUGCUCCUGGAUUCAGCGGCGGACGGGUGAGUAAUGCCUAGGAAUCUGCCUGGUAGUGGGGGAUAACGUCCGGAAACGGGCGCUAAUACCGCAUACGUCCUGAGGGAGAAAGUGGGGGAUCUUCGGACCUCACGCUAUCAGAUGAGCCUAGGUCGGAUUAGCUAGUUGGUGGGGUAAAGGCCUACCAAGGCGACGAUCCGUAACUGGUCUGAGAGGAUGAUCAGUCAACCUGGAACUGAGACACGGUCCAGACUCCUACGGGAGGCAGCAGUGGGGAAUAUUGGACAAUGGGCGAAAGCCUGAUCCAGCCAUGCCGCGUGUGUGAAGAAGGUCUUCGGAUUUUAAAGCACUUUAAGUUGGGAGGAAGGGCAGUAAGUUAAUACCUUGCUGUUUUGACGUUACCAACAGAAUAAGCACCGGCUAACUUCGUG